GGUACAUCGGUGACAGGUGGUGGCAUGGUUGUCGUCAGCUCGUGUCGUGAGAUGUUGGGUUAAGUCCCGCAACGAGCGCAACCCCUAUUGUUAGUUGCCAUCAUUCAGUUGGGCACUCUAGCGAGACUGCCGGUAAUAAACCGGAGGAAGGUGGGGAUGACGUCAAAUCAUCAUGCCCCUUAUGACCUGGGCUACACACGUGCUACAAUGGUUGGUACAACGAGUUGCGAGUCGGUGACGGCGAGCUAAUCUCUUAAAGCCAAUCUCAGUUCGGAUUGUAGGCUGCAACUCGCCUACAUGAAGUCGGAAUCGCUAGUAAUCGCGGAUCAGCACGCCGCGGUGAAUACGUUCCCGGGCCUU
Molecule: ribosomal RNA, 360 nt
Filed under: uncultured Streptococcus sp.
Lineage: Bacteria; Bacillati; Bacillota; Bacilli; Lactobacillales; Streptococcaceae
Description: bacterial SSU rRNA
Rfam family: Bacterial small subunit ribosomal RNA
Source: RNAcentral